Molecule: non-coding RNA, 72 nt
Organism: Cordylochernes scorpioides
Lineage: Eukaryota; Metazoa; Arthropoda; Arachnida; Pseudoscorpiones; Chernetidae
Source: the annotation of a GenBank genome assembly
CUCCCAGGCGGGGACUCGAACCCCGGUCACCCGCAUGACAGGCAGGAAUACUAGCCACUCUACUACAGAGGA